Long non-coding RNA from Cavia porcellus (domestic guinea pig), 2757 nucleotides. RefSeq lists it as uncharacterized. The record is from RefSeq and is a predicted model, not a curated record. Lineage: Eukaryota; Metazoa; Chordata; Mammalia; Rodentia; Caviidae. The transcript is spliced from 4 exons.
GUGCUGCAGAUCUGGUGCAAUUAGCGGCCCGGGGGAGAGGCACCGUGAGAGACGAGGUCAGACAGUCAGUGUAGGGCUAGACUGGAAGCGCUUUCCACCCCAGGCUAGGCUGUUUGGACUUCUUUGGAUAGAAAACGAAGUGACGAAAUCAUGGUCUGUAAAACAUGUCAUUUAUAUGAAGGGAGGAUGACAAGAGAAAGCACUUGAAGUGGAGACAUCAAAGAAUUAGCACUUGCUUAGACAUAUGCGUUGGUAGCCGCCUUGUACCUCGCUUGGGGCUGGUGUUUCAUGCUGCUCAGUGGGACACAGAGUGACUGAGCACCAGUAUGCUGGUAGCAUGUCCUACAGCGGCCCCCGAAGCUGACCUUGUUUUUCCUUUCCCCCUUGUGGACCUUGUCUCAGGCCUGAAGGGCACAGUAGUGUCAUUACGUUGUCCCUCCCUCCACGUUGGUGAGCACAAGCAGAGCCGGGUGACCUCAGAGAUGUAAUCCACCCAUGAGUGUCAUUUGAACUUGAAACAAGAAGUGAUGGUGAGUCCUAGCAGGCUUCUGAUCAUAACUGCGUUGGAGAUGGGGCAGGAAACAUGAAAUGACAUUGCGCUCCCAAAAUAUAUGAAGUAGCACAAUUUCAAAAAUCCCGAACUAUAAAGCUACCUGGACAACUCCUGGAGACACCAUUUGCCUGUGAAUGUCACCUGUUUAGAGCACAAAUGGGUCUGACCUUGCACUCCGAUAUCGAUUGUCCUGAGAGCCUGCCUGGAAGGCACCCAUGCAGAGUGGAGUUGGCUGAAUAGUCAUCGCCAGUGCAGAAACCAGAAAGGGAUUUGGAGGUACCUGCUGUCGAUGAAGAAAAUGAUCUGGGCAGAUAUGCAUUAACCUAAAGGCAGUGUAAUUCUGAGAACCUCCUCGAUGAGAGGGUAUUUUGUCAUUUCUUUUUCUGUGGGAGUCCUUAGAAUAAACUGCAUAGAAUAAAUCUGAACAGAACCUUUGCAGGCUAUGUGAGAAAGACAAUGUGAAAAGAAAAUAAGAAAAUAAACAUGCACAUUUGCUUACUUCAUGUCUAGGUAGAGCUAUGUGUUAGAAGAUGGAGAAGCAGAUAAAGGACAAAAAAUAUACCAGAAUGUAUGAGACAGUGUAAAAGAAAUUGUGGGCCCAAAGUGGGAAGGGAGUUGAUUCUGGUACUUUUGAAAGGUUUCAGAUCUGGACUGUCUCAAUGAUGGAUUGUCUGACCCAUGUCUCUCCUGAACAUUUGAAAAAAAAAUGUUAAAUGAAAAUACUUCUGUAUAUCUUGCAGGGAUUUUGUUGACACUGUUUUCUUAGUUUACGGUAGUAGAUGGAUAAUAUGACAGACUUUACUCCAGAGAACCAACUCCUGUUUUUCUCAGUUCAAAGUACUCAUGUUCAUUUUGAAGAGCAUUAACCACAUUAAUGUUAUGCAUAACCAUGGGUGGAAAAUACGGUGAAUGACUUGGUAAGAAAUGUAAGUUAGAAACUAAACUCCUUUAUUAAUAGAAAAAUUUGAUAGGUUAAAAAAAUGGGACAAACCAAGUUUUCUGUAUGUAAGACAAGUCCUGAGUUAUUAUGAUAGUUAUAUUUCAAAAGGAAUAAUAGAAUAUGCAUAUGCAACUCAGCAAAUUGAAGAAAAUUUUCUAGCUUUGUUUUCUUUUCUAAUGCUGCUAGAGAGAAUAGAAUGGCUUCAUAUACAAUAGGUGGAACCUCAGUUGUUACCUGAGCUCAAUGCAGUAUUAGCAGACACAUGGAUACUUUACAACCUGACUGUAUUUGGUAGCUACUGAGCAUGAAUUCCUUAUAUACUGAGUGUAUAUGGAAGCUUUAUCUCUGUGACUUAUCUUUUUGAAGUCAGUUUUGAACUCAUUUGCAUACCUAGGACCAACUUAUUAAUAAGCAGUUACCUCUUGAAUAAUGCUCAUAAAAAUUAUUGAGUAAAAUAGUUGGCAUCUUCCUAGGGAUCCAAUAGGGAUGCCAAGUUCAAGCCUAAUUAUAACACUUUUGUUUGUAAUUGAAGGUGUAUCAAGUAAUGGCAUUUUAGUUUGCAAGCCAUGUAAUUUUCUGUGUAGAAAGGAAGGGCAAAUGUUUCCCAUGCAGGUAAUAUGGGAGGCCUUCUCCGGUCUCUCUCCUCACACACCCUGUCAUCAAAGCUGCUCUGGUGACUGAGUGGGGAAUUCCACUGUGGACCCACUUGGGAAACAGGAAGUGGCGCUGUGCCUCGGUCAACAUGGCUCCCCUGCCCAGUGAGAAGCCCCCCUGGUCCGGAGGUGCCAGCAAGGGUACGCCAAGCCAGGCUUCGAGGGAUCAGAAUUCUUCUAAAACAGAGGAGCAUCUUUAAAAAGCUGUCCCAAGGCCGUGAGCUAUUUCUAGGGUAGGAUUUUAUCUUGCAGUGCUGCGGGUUCAUAUAAUGGAACAAACUACAAAGUUAUAAUUUGUAGUAUAGUCAGAAUGUUAGCCACCUCUUGGGAUAUAAAUCUUGUUACAUGAAAUUUCUGCCAUGGGCUUUAUAGCAUUUUGAAGCCAAAAAUAUGUAUUUGUCUAUUUCACUUAAAAUAUGUAUACUUUUAUAUCUGUACUUCAUACUUAUAUAAUAUAUAUCAUAAAAUGUAUUAAACAUAUUUACACAAAAAUUCCAAAUAUAAAUAUAGCUUUGUCUAUUUGCCUUAAUACAUGACAUACAUUUAUAUAUUAAUACAUAUUGCAUAUUUUAUACUUAUUCAAUAUAUUAAAUAUAUAUGUAAAUUGCUUG